Long non-coding RNA from Rosa chinensis, 346 nucleotides. RefSeq lists it as uncharacterized. The record is from RefSeq and is a predicted model, not a curated record. Lineage: Eukaryota; Viridiplantae; Streptophyta; Magnoliopsida; Rosales; Rosaceae. The transcript has 3 exons.
GACGUGUUUGAAACCUAGAAGCCCACCUAGCCUAAAUUCUAUCCCUUCCACCGUUUUGCCUUUGACUCCUUUUCUUUUUGGAUUUUGGGUUCCCAUCGAGAAACUGAUUUGGGGAGGGUACUACAUAGUUCCAGAUUUCUUUGCUUUCAGACGGGGAUUGAAGAGAGAAGAAAGAGAAACUGAUUUGGGAUGGGAACUGGGCACUCAAGUAUGGCAAACUCCAAAAGUUCAUCAAAUAUGAGAAAUAUGAUGUUACAGGUCAUAGAGCAAGCCACUGAUGCAGAGAAAGCAACGGCUAUGUGUGAGUUUCUUGAUUUCAAGCGCAGGAACAAGGUAAUCUUUCAUC